GCUGUCCCCGCGUCCCGCUGACCUUGAGCCCCCCCGGACCCCCCCCCAAAGGGCCUCAUUAAUCUCCCCCACCCCCCCGGGGGUCGCGGGGGUCACGGGUGGCCCCUCGGGGGGGGGCUCGGAGCCAAUUAACCCUCGCGGCUCCGGGCGGGGCCGGGGGAACCCGAGAGCUUUAUGGGCCAUAAAGCGCCUUCCCCUCCUUCUGUUCAGGAACCAUAAAAACCCCGAAUUGCCCGGGGGGGCGAGCCCAGAGGGGGGAAAAAAGGAAAAAAAAAUCAAAAUAAUAACGGAGAGAAGCCCCCUCCCCUUUCUCCUCCCCUCCUCGGGUGCAUCCGGACCCGCGGGACCCCCGGGAGGAGGGGAGGGGGCUCUGCCCUUUAUUUUGGGGGGCCCCGAGCUGCCAAGGGGGCGGGGAGGGGGGGCCCGAGGCCCGGGGAGGAAAACCCCAGCGUGUCGUCAAUUUUAUGGGUAAUAAAAUUUCAAAGCCGCCCGAGCGCAUUUAAUGCCUGGGAAGGAAAUUCGGGGAGGGGGCGGCAGCGCCUCGCCCCUCCCUCCCUUCCGCUCCCCCCCCGCGCCGGGGGUCCCGCCCGGGAGCAGGUGGAGAAACCCCGGGGGAAACUGAGGCACGGGGGGGCGGGGCCGGGCAGGGCUGUGUCCCCGUGGGGACCCCCUGGGACCCCCUGGCUGGGCCGGGCUGGCCCCGGCACUGCUGUCACCGUCACCCCCUUUGUCACCCCCAUGUCACCCCCAUGUCACCCUGCUGUCAUCACAACCCUGUUUGUCACCCCGAUGUCACCCUGGUACCCUGUUUGUCACCCCAAUGUCACCCUGGUGUGACCCUGUUUGUCACCCUGUUUGUCACUUUGCUGUCACCCUGCUGUCACCCCGGUCACCGUGCCACCUGCCCCGUGUCCCCAGUUUGCUCCCAGCGCCCAGUGCCAGCUCCCAGUGGCGCUGCUGAGCGGUGACAGU
Molecule: long non-coding RNA, 972 nt
Filed under: Junco hyemalis (dark-eyed junco)
Lineage: Eukaryota; Metazoa; Chordata; Aves; Passeriformes; Passerellidae
Description: lncRNA (ENSJHYG00000000074.1)
Source: RNAcentral